This is a long non-coding RNA of Salvia splendens (bonfire salvia), 1487 nucleotides long. RefSeq lists it as uncharacterized. Lineage: Eukaryota; Viridiplantae; Streptophyta; Magnoliopsida; Lamiales; Lamiaceae. The transcript is spliced from 2 exons. The record is from RefSeq and is a predicted model, not a curated record.
UUUUUGUGUCUUCGGCAGCGGUAGUCCCAACACCAUCAGCCCUACCCUCUUACUCUUCCACCCCAUCGGUCAAAACUCCUCCCCCAAAUCACUCCUUCAUACCAAUCCCUAAUCUCACAACCCUAGCUCAACGGCGCCUCCCUUCCCUCACGCCGAUUUGCUUCCAUCGCGGCAGUCAACCGCCGGCGCUCUGUCGGCGGCGUCGCAGGGUCGUCGAUACCCUCGCGUCUAGACGUUCACUCCUACUCCUAUAUCGACCGAGGCUCAGUCGGUUCAGGUGAGAAACCGCGUCUCUGGAGGGCACGCCGACCGCUGCCCUCUUCGUCGCGCCAUAGCCGUCGCGAUUCUCCGAGCUCCACCUCCCCUCUCACUCUUCGGUGGUGGCUCCGUUUCUUGGCGGUUCAGUCGCCAUCCCUCAGCGCCGUCGGCUCAACCCAGGAAUUCCAGGCUGGGUGUCUAACUCCGUCGUCGUUCGACUCGUGCCGGACAGCCCCGUACUAAGCUAAGCCCUCUAGCUAGAUUUAAUUUCCAAGUUAAAGUCUUGUAUGAUAUAGUUUGCUGGGGUGAGUUCUUGAUCAGCUUAAGCUUCUACUGGUUUUGUUCAUGAGGCUGCCUAGUAUUUCUCGUUCUAAACUCUGUGUUACAACAAUUUUCUAAACGUUAAUUUCUUGGUCUUUAAACAAGAAGGUUUUGUGCUUGCUACUGUUGUAGAUGAGGGAUUGUUAAGCUUUAUUCUAAAAGUAAGAGAGCAUGCUUGGGCAGAUUGUGAUUCAAGUUUUUAAGCUUCUACAUGAUGCUAUGAGAAAAGACUGGGAGAAGGGAUGGAGGUGAAAUACCUCUUGAAGUAGUUACUGCCUUGAAUUCUUGCUCCUAGAACAACAAGCUCUCUAACUCUCCAAAUUUGCUUAAUUUUUGGGGUGUGUGGGAGGGGAUCCGAAGGUGGUAUGGAGGGGGUCUUUGUAGAGAAAUUUUGGUGUACUUUGGUGAAUUAAAUGACUGAUAUGGUAGUUUGUCUCCACUUUGCAGCAUAUCUCUCUAGUUGAUUCACCUUGUAUGACUUGAAUUUGGUGGUACUUGGUUAUUACUCCAAUUUGUUUGCUCAUUGCAGGGGUGGUUUUUGGAGGAUAGUAGUCCAUAGGUGCUGGUUUGAGGAGGGGAUUUGCAGGCAUUAACUUUCUGUUCUUGGUGGAACAAGACUUGGGCUGCCAGCUGCCAUCCGCGAUACGGCCUCGCUGCCCCCGGCCCAACGGCUACCUCUGACACGGCCCGUGAAGAGUGUGAUUUGGGCUUGGGGAGAUGAGGCCCAAAAUGCAUAUUUUGUAUUCUUAAACUCCAUCUCAUCAAUUCUUGUGUAAAAUAUUUUGUAACUAGAUAGUAGCUUGAUAUGUAUAUAAAAAGAUAUUCAAACACUUUUAGUCUAGAAUAAACCUUCUAUUCUUUAUCGAUGUUUGUAAAUUUUCAUAAUUAUAUGAAAAUCGUUUUGGUUC